This 601-nucleotide ribosomal RNA is filed under the name Salmonella enterica subsp. enterica serovar Enteritidis. RNAcentral describes it as "partial 23S ribosomal RNA". It matches the Rfam family "Bacterial large subunit ribosomal RNA", at positions 671 to 1269 of the family's 2925-position model. Lineage: Bacteria; Pseudomonadati; Pseudomonadota; Gammaproteobacteria; Enterobacterales; Enterobacteriaceae. The record is from RNAcentral.
GGGAAACCGAGUCUUAAUUGGGCGUUAAGUUGCAGGGUAUAGACCCGAAACCCGGUGAUCUAGCCAUGGGCAGGUUGAAGGUUGGGUAACACUAACUGGAGGACCGAACCGACUAAUGUUGAAAAAUUAGCGGAUGACCUGUGGCUGGGGGUGAAAGGCCAAUCAAACCGGGAGAUAGCUGGUUCUCCCCGAAAGCUAUUUAGGUAGCGCCUCGUGAAUUCAUCUCCGGGGGUAGAGCACUGUUUCGGCUAGGGGGCCAUCCCGGCUUACCAACCCGAUGCAAACUGCGAAUACCGGAGAAUGUUAUCACGGGAGACACACGGCGGGUGCUAACGUCCGUCGUGAAGAGGGAAACAACCCAGACCGCCAGCUAAGGUCCCAAAGUCAUGGUUAAGUGGGAAACGAUGUGGGAAGGCCCAGACAGCCAGGAUGUUGGCUUAGAAGCAGCCAUCAUUUAAAGAAAGCGUAAUAGCUCACUGGUCGAGUCGGCCUGCGCGGAAGAUGUAACGGGGCUAAACCAUGCACCGAAGCUGCGGCAGCGACACUGUGUGUUGUUGGGUAGGGGAGCGUUCUGUAAGCCUGUGAAGGUGUGUCGUGAGGC